This 282-nucleotide ribosomal RNA is filed under the name uncultured Bacteroides sp. RNAcentral describes it as "partial 16S ribosomal RNA". It matches the Rfam family "Bacterial small subunit ribosomal RNA", at positions 65 to 339 of the family's 1533-position model. Lineage: Bacteria; Pseudomonadati; Bacteroidota; Bacteroidia; Bacteroidales; Bacteroidaceae. The record is from RNAcentral.
AGGGGCAGCAUGAACUUAGCUUGCUGAGUUUGAUGGCGACCGGCGCACGGGUGAGUAACACGUAUCCAACCUGCCGAUGACUCGGGGAUAGCCUUUCGAAAGAAAGAUUAAUACCCGAUGGCAUAGUUCUUCCGCAUGGUAGAACUAUUAAAGGUAUUCCGGUAGACGAUGGGGAUGCGUUCCAUUAGGCAGUUGGUGAGGUAACGGCUCACCAAACCUUCGAUGGAUAGGGGUUCUGAGAGGAAGGUCCCCACAUUGGAACUGAGACACGGUCCAAACUCC